Molecule: small RNA, 341 nt
Filed under: Pongo abelii (Sumatran orangutan)
Lineage: Eukaryota; Metazoa; Chordata; Mammalia; Primates; Hominidae
Description: processed transcript
Source: RNAcentral
GUGUGGGGAGCGGGCGUCGGAAGGACCCGUGGGGAUAGGAAAAUGGGGCCAUUUGAGCCCUGGCAAAGUUCUGCCUCCUGGGGGCAUUGCUGGCCCCCAUCCGAGUGCUUCUGGCCUUUAUCGUCCUCUUUCUCCUCUGGCCCUUUGCCUGGCUGCAAGUGGCCGGUCUUAGUGAGGAGCAGCUUCAGGAGCCAAUUACAGGAUGGAGGAAGACUGUGUGCCACAACGGGGUGCUAGGCCUGAGCCGCCUGCUGUUUUUCCUGCUGGGCUUCCUCCGGAUUCGCGUUCGCGGCCAGCGAGCCUCUCGCCUUCAAGCCCCUGUCCUUGUUGCUGCCCCACAC